Ixodes scapularis (black-legged tick) is the source of this 474-nucleotide long non-coding RNA. RefSeq lists it as uncharacterized. The transcript is spliced from 5 exons. NCBI's taxonomy places the organism in Eukaryota, Metazoa, Arthropoda, Arachnida, Ixodida, Ixodidae. The record is from RefSeq and is a predicted model, not a curated record.
AGUGACAAGGAAGACAAAGAAUCAACUAAAUCACAAAAAAAAAAGAAAAAUAGCACAGAGAUUUAGUUUGAUGCCGGCAACAAUGUGUUGUCAUGAUUUGUUGAUGAGGAAUGCCAUGCUUUCUGCCUACACCCCAAUGUGCGACUACCUGCGGCUCGGCUGUUGAUGCGGGAGGUGCUGUAGGGCCCUACUGCCUAACACUUGCUGACGAGGACAUCCCUGCAAAGAAUGAGAUCGUGGAUCCUAGCAUCGGCCUCCAGAAAAGGAAGGAAUGAUCCAUGUCGGGCAAGGUGUGCACGUCAACCAGGAAUGCGGGCAACAUGCGGAAAGCAGAGUGCGACUCCAUGUUUUGCAAGAUCACUGCUGCUUCCAUAGGGCUGCUUUUGACUACGCCUGAGGGAGAAAGGUACCGCCAGGCUGAAAGGGCAGCCCGGCACCAGAAGAUACGGCGGUACCUGUCAGAAAACCUGUCCA